CCUACGGGCGGCUGCAGUGGGGAAUAUUGCGCAAUGGGCGAAAGCCUGAUGCAGCGACGCCGCGUGAGGGAUGAAGGUCUUCGGAUCGUAAACCCCUGUCAGCAGGGAAGAACGGUCACUGUGCUAAUCAGCAGUGAAUUGACGGUACCUGCAAAGGAAGCACCGGCUAACUCCGUGCCAGCAGCCGCGGUAAUACGGAGGGUGCGAGCGUUAAUCGGAAUUACUGGGCGUAAAGCGCUCGUAGGCGGUAUGUCAAGUCAAGGGUGAAAUCCCCGGGCUCAACGUGGGAACUGCAUUUGAAACGGGCAGACUGGAGUGUGGGAGAGGAGAGAGGAAUUCCAGGUGUAGGAGUGAAAUCCGUAGAUAUCUGGAGGAACAGCAGUGGCGAAGGCGACUAUCUGGCACAUAACUGACGCUGAGGAGCGAAAGCGUGGGUAGCAAACAGGAUUAGAUACCCGUGUAGUC
This 465-nucleotide ribosomal RNA is filed under the name uncultured bacterium. RNAcentral describes it as "partial 16S ribosomal RNA". It matches the Rfam family "Bacterial small subunit ribosomal RNA", at positions 338 to 795 of the family's 1533-position model. The record is from RNAcentral.